UUUAUAUAGUUUAACUCAAAACCUUACAUUUUCAAUGUAAAAUUAAAACACUUUUUUUUAUAA
This 63-nucleotide transfer RNA is filed under the name Dilophotes sp. F LB-2014. RNAcentral describes it as "tRNA-Glu". Lineage: Eukaryota; Metazoa; Arthropoda; Insecta; Coleoptera; Lycidae. The record is from RNAcentral.